This 302-nucleotide unclassified non-coding RNA is filed under the name fungal sp. RNAcentral's name for it is "partial internal transcribed spacer region". The stretch from base 1 to 46 matches the Rfam family "Eukaryotic small subunit ribosomal RNA", at positions 1786 to 1831 of the family's 1831-position model. The record is from RNAcentral. Lineage: Eukaryota; Fungi.
AAGUCGUAACAAGGUAACCGUAGGUGAACCUGCGGUUGGAUCAUUAACAAAUUUUAUUGAAUUUACUUUCCUUAAAAAAAAAUGGGAAAGUUUAAUUCUUUAACACUUUUGUGAACUGUUUAUUGUCUCUUGAUGGGUAACGGAAAUUUUUUUUAAAAAAAAUUCUUAUUUGAAAGUGUAAAAAACUUCUCAAUUCCCAUCAAUUUUUUUUUAACAUUAACUUGAAUAAAUUUAUUUGUCUUUAAUUUUGAAUUAUAUUUUAAUUUAAAAACAACUUUUAACAACGGAUCUCUAGGCUCUCA